AGAGUUUGAUCAUGGCUCAGGACUAACGCUGGCGGCAUGCCUCAUACAUGCAAGUCGUGCGAUCGGCCCGGGGUGGGCAACCACACCGGGUACGGAGCGGCGAACGGGUGAGUAACGCGUAGGUAACCUGCCCCGCGGACCGGGAUAGCUGAUCGAAAGAUCAAUCAAUACCGGAUACGACGACCUUCCCACAUGGGAGGGUCGGGAAAGGUGGUACUUCGGUGCCAGUACCGCGGGAUGGGCUUGCGUCCUAUUAGCUAGUUGGUAGGGUAACGGCCUACCAAGGCUUUGAUGGGUAGCCGGCUUGAGAGAGCGAACGGCCACACUGGAACUGAGACACGGUCCAGACUCCUACGGGAGGCAGCAGUAGGGAAUCUUCGGCAAUGGGCGAAAGCCUGACCGAGCAAUGCCGCGUGCGGGAUGAAGGCCUUCGGGUUGUAAACCGCUGUCAUAGGGGAAGAAGGCAGCGCGGAGGAAAUGCCGUGUUGUUGACGGUACCCUAGGAGGAAGUCACGGCUAAUUACGUGCCAGCAGCCGCGGUAAU
RNAcentral lists this ribosomal RNA (544 nucleotides) under uncultured Bacillota bacterium. Its description in RNAcentral is "bacterial SSU rRNA". It matches the Rfam family "Bacterial small subunit ribosomal RNA", at positions 8 to 524 of the family's 1533-position model. Lineage: Bacteria; Bacillati; Bacillota. The record is from RNAcentral.